Molecule: ribosomal RNA, 460 nt
Filed under: uncultured bacterium
Lineage: Bacteria
Description: partial 16S ribosomal RNA
Rfam family: Bacterial small subunit ribosomal RNA
Source: RNAcentral
CCUACGGGUGGCAGCAGUGAGGAAUAUUGGUCAAUGGACGAGAGUCUGAACCAGCCAAGUAGCGUGAGGGAUGACUGCCCUCUGAUUUGUAAACUUCUUUUAUAUGGUAAUACAAUCUUCCACGUAUUGGAUUUUGUAUUUACCAUAUGAAUAAGGAUCGGCUAACUCCGUGCCAUCAGCCGCGGUGAUACGGAGGAUCCGAGCGUUAUCCGGAUUUAUUGGGCUUAAAGGGAGCGUAGGUGGUAUGUUAAGUCAGUUGUGAAAUUUUGGGGCUCAACCGGAAAAUUGCAGUUGAAACUGGCAGUCUUGAGUACAGUAGAGGUGAGCGGAAUUCGAGGUGUAGCGGUGAAAUGCGUAGAUAUCACGAAGAACUCCGAUUGCGAAGGCAGCUCACUGGACUGCAACUGACACUGAGGAUCGAAAGUGUGGGUAUCAAACAGGAUUAGAUACCCGAGUAGUC